This 247-nucleotide ribosomal RNA is filed under the name uncultured bacterium. RNAcentral describes it as "partial 16S ribosomal RNA". It matches the Rfam family "Bacterial small subunit ribosomal RNA", at positions 15 to 257 of the family's 1533-position model. The record is from RNAcentral.
GAUCCUGGCUCAGAUUGAACGCUGGCGGCAGGCCUAACACAUGCAAGUCGAACGGUAACAGGAAGCAGCUUGCUGCUUUGCUGACGAGUGGCGGACGGGUGAGUAAUGUCUGGGAAACUGCCUGAUGGGAGGGGGAUAACUACUGGAAACGGUAGCUAAUACCGCAUAACGUCGCAAGACCAAAGGAGGGGGACCUUCGGGCCUCUUGCCAUCGGAUGUGCCCAGAGUGGGAGUUAGUCUAGUAGGG